RNAcentral lists this ribosomal RNA (467 nucleotides) under uncultured bacterium. RNAcentral's name for it is "partial 16S ribosomal RNA". It matches the Rfam family "Bacterial small subunit ribosomal RNA", at positions 28 to 523 of the family's 1533-position model. The record is from RNAcentral.
GACGAACGCUGGCGGCGUGCUUAACACAUGCAAGUCGAGCGGGAAACUUCGGUUUCCAGCGGCGGACGGGUGAGUAACACGUGGGCAACCUGCCUCACAAUGAGGGAUAGCCUUCCGAAAGGAGGAUUAAUACCUCAUAACACAAGAGAAACGCAUGUUUCUCUUGCCAAAGAAUUUCGUUGUGAGAUGGGCCCGCGGCGCAUUAGCUUGUUGGUGAGGUAACGGCUCACCAAGGCUGCGAUGCGUAGCCGACCUGAGAGGGUGAUCGGCCACAUUGGAACUGAGACACGGUCCAGACUCCUACGGGAGGCAGCAGUGGGGAAUAUUGCACAAUGGAGGAAACUCUGAUGCAGCAACGCCGCGUGAGUGAUGAAGGUCUUCGGAUUGUAAAGCUCUGUCUUCUGGGACGAUAAUGACGGUACCAGAGGAGGAAGCCACGGCUAACUACGUGCCAGCAGCCGCAGUAA